This 486-nucleotide ribosomal RNA is filed under the name uncultured bacterium. Its description in RNAcentral is "partial 16S ribosomal RNA". It matches the Rfam family "Bacterial small subunit ribosomal RNA", at positions 30 to 507 of the family's 1533-position model. The record is from RNAcentral.
AUUGAACGCUGGCGGCAUGCCUUACACAUGCAAGUCGAACGGCAGCACGGGUGCUUGCACCUGGUGGCGAGUGGCGAACGGGUGAGUAAUACAUCGGAACAUGUCCUGUAGUGGGGGAUAGCCCGGCGAAAGCCGGAUUAAUACCGCAUACGAUCCACGGAUGAAAGCGGGGGACCUUCGGGCCUCGCGCUAUAGGGUUGGCCGAUGGCUGAUUAGCUAGUUGGUGGGGUAAAGGCCUACCAAGGCGACGAUCAGUAGCUGGUCUGAGAGGACGACCAGCCACACUGGGACGGAGACACGGCCCAGACUCCUACGGGAGGCAGCAGUGGGGAAUUUUGGACAAAGGGCGAAAGCCUGAUCCAGCAAUGCCGCGUGUGUGAAGAAGGCCUUCGGGUUGUAAAGCACUUUUGUCCGGAAAGAAAUCCUUGACUCUAAUACAGUCGGGGGAUGACGGUACCGGAAGAAUAAGCACCGGCUAACUACGUG